UGGGGAAUAUUGGACAAUGGGGGGAACCCUGAUCCAGCAAUGCCGCGUGUGUGAAGAAGGCCUUCGGGUUGUAAAGCACUUUCAGUAGGGAGGAAAGGUGCGUAGUUAAUACCUGCGCAAUUGACGUUACCUACAGAAGAAGCACCGGCUAACUCCGUGCCAGCAGCCGCGGUAAUACGGAGGGUGCGAGCGUUAUUCGGAAUUACUGGGCGUAAAGCGCACGCAGGCGGUUGCCCAAGUCAGAUGUGAAAGCCCCGGGCUUAACCUGGGAACUGCAUUUGAAACUGGGCGACUAGAGUAUGAAAGAGGAAAGCGGAAUUUCCAGUGUAGCAGUGAAAUGCGUAGAUAUUGGAAGGAACACCGAUGGCGAAGGCAGCUUUCUGGGUCGAUACUGACGCUCAUGUGCGAAAGCGUGGGGAGCAAACA
RNAcentral lists this ribosomal RNA (426 nucleotides) under uncultured Cardiobacterium sp. RNAcentral's name for it is "bacterial SSU rRNA". It matches the Rfam family "Bacterial small subunit ribosomal RNA", at positions 355 to 774 of the family's 1533-position model. Lineage: Bacteria; Pseudomonadati; Pseudomonadota; Gammaproteobacteria; Cardiobacteriales; Cardiobacteriaceae. The record is from RNAcentral.